UUAAAAUAUUUCUUUCCAUUGUAUGUACACUUUCAAUAACUUUUUAAUUCAAUAUUCUUCUUUAACUUUUAUGUUUUUAAUUGCAUUAAAUUAAUUUAUACAUAAAACAAUAUUAUCAACAUUUAAAAGGAAAAAAAAUAAUAAAUAAAUAAAAUUUAUUUUAAAAAAAUGAAUUUUAAAAUCUUACUGCGACAACUUUAUGUCCGUCGAGCAAGGGUUUGGGGGUCGAACCCCAGUUUCGUCGCUCAGAGUAUCACUCGCAAUGAACACUCAUUUGUCGCUCUUCGUUUUGCGCAACGACCACCAAAUCCGUCGCGCAACAUUUAUUUCAUGUGACUAAGCACUUUCCUCCAUCGCACAAUGUUUGACGUCACGAGUUUUGCACGACAGAAUUUGCGCAACAUCCUCUUCGCACAAUGUUUCUGGUGACCGUAUUUUCCUUUGCGCGAUGGCUGUCCCUUUGUUGUCCAAAUAGUUGUGCUUAGUAGUGAAUAUGUGUACAUAAUAAUUUGCUCAACCAUGCAUUUCAAUUUGUAAUAAAUAGAAACACGCUCUUAACAACUAAGGUUCAUAUCGGGUAGUGACAUUAGACAGGUAUAUAUUUCAUUCACCAUAGCAUAAAACUGAAAUAGGAUAAUUGGUACAUCGUCUGAACUCAUACAAUCAUGCAGUUCAUAUAUUAGGGGUUAUAUAUUUGUUGAGAAUUAAUGUAUAUCAUAGGAGGAGAGAAUUUGUAUGGGACUUAUAAGCUAUGCUACUCUCCAUACGGUCAAUUGGUAUUAUGAUGAAAUCUUGACUUUUAUUAUGGUAGGUUGUGUAAUUCAAUGGCCACACGUGCUUCAAGUCACUCAUUUGUGUUGUCCAUGUACUUGGCUUGAAAAUUUGUCAUAUAUAUGAGAGGGUGUUUGUUAAUGAAAAUUUCCGCCGUCUUCAGCCUUGACGAAAAUGCACCUGCAAAACAAUCAACACCUUUGAUCAAAGACCUAAGCCUCACGCACCCACGAGGUGGGGGGGGGGGGUUAGGCCAAUGGAUCUUCGAUGCCUAAGUCAGUUUCUUUGAGAGACUAAAGUGUAGGCCUUUUUAGGGAUAACAAAAGCUCUGAAAAUUUGGUAGAAUAUGGCGUAUUUAUAGGGAUAGGGCCAGCCAUGGUGUUUAUGGAGAAAUAUUCUCUAAAUAUUCUCAAGAUAUUAAAUAGGAAAUAAUAUCUUGAGAUAAUGGUGUAAUUAUCCCUAAUUUAUUUAAAUUAGGAUUACUUACUUGAUUGGAGUCAAUCUUCAAAUGGAAAUGUAUUAAAGAUAGGAUUUGGGUAAUUAAUCCUUAUCUUUAAUUCCUUGCCAAGGGAGGUGAGCAGUGGGUAAUCGUAUUCAGUUGCUGGGACUUUCAGGGGUGUGAGCUGCACGUGGGAGUAUUUGAGAAGCCUGCCCAUUUAUUGAGGGCAAUCUUGUAUAUCUUGGAUAAAAGUCCAUUUGUCGCCUCUAGAAUUUUUGGGAUUAUUUAAGCUCCACAAAUGCCCCCACACAUAUUGUGUUGCAUACACAAAAAGGAUGGUAGGUGUAGAAAUCCUAAGCUGCUUAGGCUUGUAGAGUUGUUUCCCGAUUUGAACUUGAUCUUCUUUCUUGAUUUGGAGAUCGACUUCUUCUAGGAAAAGGAAACCAAUUGCCCCCAAUACCUAUUUAAUUCUACCUUAAGCAGGGGAUUAAAUAAAUUUGGAGAACAAUCAUUAUUCCAACAAGGAUGAGAAGCUAGAGGAAAUUUUUAAUCCCCUCCCCAAGCGUUCUUUUUUUCUUGCCCUUGCAAAGAGUCGUCUCUCGUUGUUGUUCUUCUUUUCCAUGUCACACCAAGGUAAGAAAAAAUUGAAUUUCUUAUUCUUGAAAUUUUUAGGAGUCUUGGGAAUUGAAAAAUUGGCUCGGCGGAUGCUGAGGAGGUGUG
Molecule: long non-coding RNA, 1930 nt
Filed under: Malus domestica (apple)
Lineage: Eukaryota; Viridiplantae; Streptophyta; Magnoliopsida; Rosales; Rosaceae
Description: long non-coding RNA (MDOM_LNC016979)
Source: RNAcentral